This is a long non-coding RNA of Phragmites australis (common reed), 1542 nucleotides long. RefSeq lists it as uncharacterized. The record is from RefSeq and is a predicted model, not a curated record. NCBI's taxonomy places the organism in Eukaryota, Viridiplantae, Streptophyta, Magnoliopsida, Poales, Poaceae. The transcript is spliced from 3 exons.
UGUAAGUGUAUAGGAGAAGAGAUGCUGCUGCCUUGUUAACUUUUUGUGCAACGAAUGGGAUUCAGGAGCGAUCACCUCGUCAAGGUCAUUCGCCAGAAGCGACGUCGGCCGUUUCGGCUCUAGCACAACGACUCCUUCGUAAAGUAGCGAUGCUCUUCUCCACUCCAUGCCGAGGUUAUCCCCUGACUUAAUCUGUUGAUUCUCCAUUCUCCUGUGCGCGUGAUUCUGGCGGCGCGACUGGAGGCAGCAAGUGGGCGCAAAAGCACGUGCAGCAGCCGUCCAGCACCCUCUAGACAUGGCCUCCGUGACCUCGCCGCAGAUUACUUUUUUGAUAUGCUGGUGAUACGGCAGAGCAAGAUUACCCUAUUUGGUAUUGCUUAUGUGGGGUAAUUGGUUCAUUUGUGUGUACUAGUUCACCAAUCACCACUAGGCAGCUAGCUAAAAUUUCAAUGAAGGUAUGUUCAUUGUUAAGCACAAGUCAACUCUGUAAUUUCAUAGUUCCUGUUGUUUCAGUCAGUGCAGAUUGAAGUCUGAUUUUUUUAAUAAUAGGAGAGUUUAAUCAACAUGCUGUCAGACUUGACUACUGUAUCAUCUUCAGUAUUACUAGGCUCGUGCACCUCUCUAGCCCAACUAUUAUAAGAUUAUACAGUAGUUGAUUUUUGUAUGGUUCUUGCUGUUUUUUGCAUACGAAAUGCUCCCCUCCCUCACUCGACACUCUAGAGAUGGCAAUUUUGAUUCAGGUGGUCUACAUAUGUAUGUGUUUUUCCUUGUCUAUAUGAUGCCGUACCAAAACAUUUCAUUUUAAACAUUGCUCAUGAUUGCGUAACAAUACCUCCAAAUUAGCAAGAAUGGACAAACACUGGAUGCAAUCAUUAAGGUAAUUAAACCUCAGUACCACAAAUUUUGGUCAAAUUUAAUCUUCUCAGGAGUAACUACGUAUAAUGUCCUGCAAUAGGUGCACUGCUGACUAUCGAAAAGGUCUCAGGAAGUUUAAUUAUUUUGCUUUCUCCAAAUCAGCAAGGGGCAACAAAAUACAUUGUCCCUCUAGAAAUGUAUGAAUCAGUAUUGGUUAGAGGAAAAUAUUGUGCACGAACACUUACUUUUUUAUGGAUUUGUUCAGGGAUUAUAAUACAAGGAUCUUCCAUGGUGAGGUACCUGUUGAUACUGUUCUUGACAACAAUGUCGUAAUCCCCUGAGCGCAAUACAAGGUCACCGAUAUUUUGGUGAGCCAGACAGCUCGCCUCGAAAUUGGAAUAGCUAACAUUAGAUUUCCACAGAGUGACGAUUUAUUGGUUGCUGUUUGCUGCGAUGUGGAUAUUUUAAGUUACUACCUAGUCUAUAGCAACUGCUACUUUUAUUUAUUGGGAAACUAUGAUGACCGUCGAAAUAUUACAUCUGUGAUGACCGUGGCAACAAUAGUCACCUAGGGAUUUGUAUUAUAGUUUGAAAUUCUUUUUUUGUAUUUUUUAAUUUUGUUCAGAUUAUUCAACAAUUUGUAUUUUGAAAAAUAAUAAAUGGAUAGAUAGAAAAUCACCUUCUUUA